UGCCCUAGCUUUUAUCACUUUCACUUCCACAUUUCUGGGCAAAAAGAGAAGCUCCAUAAAUGACUCUCAGCUGAGCAUCGGUGCUGAUGAUAUGCCUCCGCCAAGGCAAUAGCUUGGGAGGACUUAGAAGUAAGAGCUUCAUUGUAGUUGUUUUAUUGUAUUUAUUUUGUAAAGCCUAGGGGUUUAACUGUAUUAGAUUUAAAUUUAUUUUGUUGUAACCAAGUACUGUCUUGGAAGGCUAUAAGCCUUUAGAGCAUUCUUUAUUUGUUCAACUUUCAUUCUGUUUCCUUAUCAUGUAACAUAAAUUCAGGGUUAGACUUGUGAAUGUAUACCUGCAUAUGUUACCUUUUUGUACAAGUAAUUGGGAUUAAUGGAAGAUAAUUAUUUCA
Molecule: non-coding RNA, 389 nt
Organism: Camellia sinensis
Lineage: Eukaryota; Viridiplantae; Streptophyta; Magnoliopsida; Ericales; Theaceae
Source: RefSeq, a predicted model, not a curated record